Molecule: ribosomal RNA, 497 nt
Filed under: uncultured bacterium
Lineage: Bacteria
Description: partial 16S ribosomal RNA
Rfam family: Bacterial small subunit ribosomal RNA
Source: RNAcentral
GAUGAACGCUGGCGGCGUGCUUAACACAUGCAAGUCGAACGAAGCACUUUUACAGAUUUCUUCGGAAUGAAGUUUUAGUGACUGAGUGGCGGACGGGGGAGUAACGCGUGGGUAACCUGCCUCACACAGGGGGAUAACAGUCGGAAACGACUGCUAAUACCGCAUAAGCGCACAGUACCGCAUGGUACGGUGUGAAAAACUCCGGUGGUGUGAGAUGGACCCGCGUCUGAUUAGUUAGUUGGUAAGGCAACGGCCUACCAAGGCGACGAUCAGUAGCCGACCUGAGAGGGUGACCGGCCACAUUGGGACUGAGACACGGCCCAAACUCCUACGGGAGGCAGCAGUGGGGAAUAUUGCACAAUGGGGGAAACCCUGAUGCAGCGACGCCGCGUGAGCGAAGAAGUAUUUCGGUAUGUAAAGCUCUAUCAGCAGGGAAGAAGAAAUGACGGUACCUGACUAAGAAGCACCGGCUAAAUACGUGCCAGCCGCCGCGGUAA